Molecule: long non-coding RNA, 8642 nt
Organism: Odontomachus brunneus
Lineage: Eukaryota; Metazoa; Arthropoda; Insecta; Hymenoptera; Formicidae
Exons: 2
Source: RefSeq, a predicted model, not a curated record
GAGAGAGAGAGAGAGAGAGAGAGAGAGAGGAUGAGUUAUACUUCAGUUGAGCGAAUACUGCAUUUACACUUAUGUACAAAACAGCCGUCGUAUGACACGCCGGUUCCGGGACGGGAUCGACUGCGGCUGCACUCAGCAGAGAAAUUUACCUCGCAACCUUUACGUGUAAUUCGCGAGCCUGAUUGGUACACAGAAGAGACAACUCUGUUGGUGUAACUUUAACUACAGUAGUACAGGUGUAACUUUAGUUACAGUAGUAACUAAACUGACUGGUUAGUUGGUGUAACUUUAGUUAGUUGGUUGUUAGUGUAAAACUUGAGUUACACUACAAACUUCAGUUACAUUAGUAACCGAACUAACUAGUUAGUAUAUAAAUAAAUUUUUUGUUACUUGGGAACUAGAUGAAAAACUUGGUUGUAGGAACAGAAAGAUUCCUACUGGAAGUUUUUAUUCAGCAAAUUGUGCUCAGCUACCUCAACCCAAUUUCAAUGCAGCUGACUGCCCAGACGAAUUUUUUCGCAACAAUAAAAAUGUUACUUCUUGUCAACGAGUUUUCUGUCUGGUUCCUAUUCAGUUACAUGAUCAUACUUUACAUAGAAAAAAACAAUUCCAUCAGUGUGAUUAAAUUUUCUAUUAUUCGGGGCCAGAUGAAAAACAGUUGUGGGAAUAAAAAAUUCCAGUAAGAGAUUUCUACUUAGCUAUCCCAGCUGAAUUUUAAGUGAUCUACAAUGUGUUCCUUGUUUUCUGUUUUUUGUUUUCUACCUUUUCCUGAUUAAAAGCUUAAGAGUCAAGUCAGAAAAAAAUAAAAAAGGCAGGAAGCAAAGAGUAUAUUAUAGAUAACAGAGAAAUUAUUUCUUGUCAGCGAGUUUGUCGUCUGGUCCCCAUUUGGUUGCAUGAAUAAAAUCUUUUUCUCCAUACACCACAUGGAGACUAUACUAUACAAAAUGACUCUAUUAUUGUCUGCUAUUUGGGGGGCCAAAUGAAAAACUUGGUUGUAGGUAUAGAAAGAUUGCUCUUAGUUAUAUCAAUCAAAUUUGAAGCCUGAUCUACAAUAUACUCUUUACCUUCUGUUUCUUUCUUUUUAUCUCUUUCUGUGAUUUAAACUGGAAAAAGAUAGAGAACAAGAAAUAGAAAGCGAAAAGCACAUUAUAGGUCAGACUUUUAUGCAGCUGAAUGUUCAGACCAAAAUGUUUUCAGGUAACAGAGGUAUCAUUUCUCGCCAGCGAGUUUUUCAUCCAGUUCCCAUUCAGUUGCCCGAACUGUUCUUUUCCGCGUAUAUACUUUUGGAUUCAGCCAGGAUUAAGAUGCAUACACCAGUCAGAUUCACGGGUUCUGCACAACAGUUGCAAAGCAGCCUUCUUUGCUGAACGCAGUCUUUGAGACGACGGGCAAAUCGAGAAGGCUAGUCGUAAUAGCUUGACCCCCUCGCUCGCUCGUUCACGCUUCAGGAGGAUUCGUAGGGAAAAUAUACCUUCUUCAUCUGUACAUCAUCGUUGUCUUCAUACGUGACGAUGCACAUCUCGCAGGGCAACGACAUAGGACGAAAGUGGCUUGAAGAAAGCUAAAAAAAGAAUUCACAUUUCAUACUGAACGACAAAAAUGUGUCGUUUCGCAAAUGUGUCUCGUGUACAUAAUUCUAUUUCUAUGUACCUGUGUGUGUGUAGCGAUUUUUAACAAUACGAAAAAUGCGAAGUCUACUAUCAAUACAUUGGAUGAGCACAUCCUGUUCUAGCAGACAGUUUCUUUCCAUUAGAUUUCCAUGCGUUUCGUCUGUUCGUUCCGGGCGAUUAAAAGCGCUUCGCCCGGCUGUACACACGAGAAAACAAUUUCGUUAGUGUAACUGCAUGUUCUGUUAUCAGGCAAUCAGACGAAAAACUCGAUUGUAAAAGAAAGAUUCUUCUGAGAGGAGUUUCCACUCAGCCAAUUGCUCUCAGUUACCUCAACCGAGCUUUGAUGCAGUACACAUGAAUGUCUUCAGUCACAGGAAAGGUUCGUCUAUAACACGCGUAGUAAGUUGGAGUAAGAAAUAAUUUAUAUUUAUAUAAAUUUAUUUAUAUAAAUAUUUAUUUAUAUUUAUAUUAUAAAUAAUUUAUAUCGCUGACGCCUAUACUUUAACUUCUUUACUGCAAUACUGCAAGUAUUGCUCUUACGAGAGGAAUUGAAAUAUAGGCGUAAGAAAUAAAUUGUGUUUAUUUUUUACUCCAAUUUAUACCAAUGUUACGCCGCGUAUUACAGACGAAUCUUGACAGAGACAUCAUUUCUUGUCAAUGAGUUUUUCAUCUGAUCCUUUCAUUCAGUUGCACGAACUGAAAUUUUCUGUUCGUGUAUACGAGCGACUCGCCGUGUAGAAUGAAUCUCGUCUCGUGGUAGACUUGUUUGAAAACUGCGACGGUGAAGUAACGUUCUACCGGGAGUAACGUCGACUUCGAGGAUCUCCAUAUUUAUAUGAAAAAAAUUGUAUGUGUCGAGAUUAGUAUAAAAAAUUUCUCAAAAUGUCUGGAAGGAUGUUGUCCGCCGGGUAGCGCGCAAUGUCCUUGCGUAUAUAUUAAUGUACCACUCCGGUCCUUAUUCUCUUUGAUUGAUAAGAGUGCCUCCAAAUGUGUCUCACAAAAUUUUUAUUCUAAACUCUCUUUUAUCGAUAAAGAUUUUAUCUCUAAUGCCUAUUUCUAGCAAACAUCGAUUAAACCUUCUGAGCUUAAACUCUAUUCAAAAGACCAGUUUUUUUUUUUUAAGAACUUUCCUGCUGUACAAAACAAAAUAUACUUGUUUCGCUGUAACUUGUUGCAUCAGUGGACCCUAGUUGAACAAGUUCUUCGAGAAAGAACAGGUCUAAAAAGACUCAAUUCCUUAUUCUGAACUCUCUUAUCAAUAAAAGUACUUCUAAGUAUGAUAUAUAGUCUAACUAUAUAUAUGAUAAGUCUUAACUUUCAGUUAGCUUAGAGGUACUUUCGUCAAUAACAGAAAAUUGACAAUUAAACAUAAAUUAAAAUUUAAAUUAUAUUGAAACAGGGACAGUGACUUGUAAGCCCUCUGAUUGCCUUGCAGUCACAUUUAGAAAGACACUUUUAUUAAUAAAAGAGCAGAAUAAUGACCUUACAAAUCAUUUAGAAACACUCAUUGAUAAAAGAAACUUCAGGAUAAGCCUUUGUCUGCAUCAAGCGUCUCUCUCGUGAGAUGUUUGUAUCGAUGAAAUCAGAUUGUACCGUUUUCGACGAUUCGUUCUUCUACCGAAUCGAUAUACAGACCGAUGCAAUCGCGAUAACUUUUCUAUUCCGCAGUUCGACGCGAUGGAGAACACUUGUUAUUGGCUGGAGCGUCUAACGCUUUGCACUUUUUUACAGCUGGUCUCGCGCGUCUAGAAGAAGGCAUUCAGAUGUCAACUGUGAAACGUAAAGCCGUAUGUGAACGAAUUCCGGAUAGUCGAUGGGAUUCGAGUCCCAUUGAUGCCUGGGAAAAAUAGCAUUAAGUUCUUUACUACGGUAUCAUUAUGAUUAAUCCGACAUGUCACAUGGCCGCAUGUAUGAAAGGAUCCUUCUGAGCGGGUCGAAACCGCAAGAUCAGAAAUUGCCGAAUGAAGCGGAUCGAGAUGGAAAUCUAAUUCGUCGAUAGUUUCCUUUUCACUGCAGCGUCGGUGACUUUAUUUAUUGCAACUUCGUGUAAAAAAUUGGGGAAGAGCACUCGACAACAUCUUCCAGGAUCCUCCUCCUACAUGUGGCCACGCAACAUCGUGCAUACUGACUGUCAGCGAUCUAAAUAUGCCCUGUACACACAAUAUACGUAUCAUGCAUACACACAGAGCGACACGCAUAUAGCGAAUGCCAGCCGAAAGCAUUUCAUAGACCACAAUAACGAAUAUCCGGCAUCGAUAUGAUCGAAGAGGACGAAGAAGAGGAAGCAAACGUUGCGAAUGGAUAUCAUCGUUGUCGGUCGCAGUGACCGGCGACAACCGUCUCGAAAAAAACUCAGAGAUGCUUCUCCGCGAUAUCCUCGACUCGCAGACGAUUGUGAUGAUCGUAAUAUACCAUCGUCGUCAUCGAAGAUGCGUCAGAUACGUAUUCUAGACGCGAGGAAAACAUCGCAAAUUUUUAUCACGUCAGCUAGAGUGUUGAAGCUGUGACACGCGUUGUGCGAGCACCACGAAGCACAUUGCAGUUGUCGGCGACGGAUUCUCCCGCGAUUUUACCGUACGAAGGCGUACGGUGUCGUUUUUAAUGAGUAUACGCGUAAAACUGAACCGGCGGGCCGGCUGAGAAGACAAGACACGAUUAAAUGUUCAUAGAAAAUACGGUUUCUAUAGGCGUGUUAAUUAUAUCCUCACGAUAGUACAGUAAUAUUAAUCGACGUUUGUGUCCAAUUCGGCGACGUAGUAUUCUGCCUCCGUAAAAAGCGAGUAUGAUACAACGCGGGCGAAUAGACGAGCGUAGAGUUCCACAAGUGAGAAUUGGGACACCGUCUGCCAUUUGUAGGGAAGAAAUGAAUGAGUGAGUGAGGGAGAAGCUGCGACAUAUUCCGUCAUUUCAACUUCUCUUUCACUUUUAUUAGAGUUUCUCUCUUCCUCGUGUUUAUUUCUUCCCUAUUAAUAGCGAAUAGAGCCCAUCUAAUCAGGAAUUAUCGCGCGUCGUUCUAAUUUUUACUUAAGGAACUCUAGACGAGCGUCGUCAUUCUACUUCUUGAAAAAAGAAAGAAGACAAAAAAUGGAUAAAGAAAGAAUUCGCCGCGUCGCACGCGCAUUUGCAAAGUGCUCGAUAUCAUCCCUCAGUCUGAAAACUGAUACAGAUCAUACGGGAUGGCUCGGUCUCCGCGAUGUUACAUAGCGACUUUCUGCUCGCGACCGUCGCUCGGUCUAUUCGAACGCUCGCCUCUGCCUCUCCAUCCUUUCGUGUAUGUACAUACGAUAAUAUCCAUUGUAUUUCCUGUAGAGUUUCUAGAAGUCUCCCCUUAAGCAGAUUUCGUACGAGAGCGCGUGAGUGGUCAAUGAUAUUUUAUUCGUGCAUGUGAGAGCACGUGAGUAAGCAUACGAUUUACCACAACUACUACAGUGCGAUUCCACGUAUGAUUGUUAUAUGUAUGUUUGUUACGUAUCUCACGCAUCUAUGUCGCGUGUGUAUGAGAGAGAGAGAGAGAGAAAGAGAGCGCGGAAUCUCUACGGGCUUGUCAUCUGCGUUGUAAAAUAGUAUUUUUUAUAACGGCGACACAGUGUGCGUAGAAACGGGAGUGAAAUCGUAUUUGACAGGGCAUAUAUGUACUCUAGCUCGAGCGCUCGGGAUGAUGAAUCUCGCAUGUGUUGUCUAUGCGACGAGGAUUGACGCCGACAGAUAUCACACGGAAGACCUCGACCCUUUCGACUGCUCGACAGCUUCCCGACCAACGGAUUCUCAAGCCCCACUGUGUUCAGGCUACGAGUGCUGCCUCUCGAAUUCGUAAUCUUCAACCUCUUUUUUUCACGCAGCAAUCGCGCUGAAAAACUUCGUCUCUUCUGCGCGAUAAACGACGAACUUCGUCCACCUUCAGUUCCGGAAUGCGUACGAACACGCACCUCGGAGUACAAAACGCUUAUAAUGUAAUCGCAGUUUUUAAUUUGUAAGACGAAGAGCGUGCGUGCGUGCGUUUUGUAAUCGCGUCGAGCACUUGCACGAUUCUGUGACGCGCGUUGCGUUCCAUUGUUCCAUUUUAUGUAUAAUACCUCUCCGUCGAAAUUUAGAAUUCACACGUGGCGCGCGUAAUUGCGAUCAACGACUUAUUUGUCGUGGCGCAGUCAAUCGUUUCGAUAAACGACGAUCGCGCUCAUUAGAUUCUAUUAAGGCUUCCAAAUAUGAGAAGACCAUAAGAAGAAAUUCGGAUCUGGAUCUAGAACUGAGAUCCUCUCCCAGAACCAAAUUAAAAAUAAAAGAGAACAGAUAAAAAGAUUUAUCAAUCUAAUAAGAAAAUUGUCAGAAAUAAGUAUUAUUGAAAUAUAUAAAUGAAUACAAUUAUCUCAGAUUAAAGGAUCUUCCUAAUGUGACGGGUUUAAAAAAUUGAUUUUUCGUUUUUUUUGCAUUUUUUUUACAGUUUAACAUCUUGAAAACAUAAUUCCAAAGAGAUUUAGCCGAAUUCGAAAAAUUGAUAAAGUUAUAGACCUUGAAGUGAAGUGACGCACAAAGCAGAAAUCCAAGCGCGCAGGGAUCAGAGAGAGAGGUCAACCUUUAAGGCUAUCGAAAAUAGAACACAAAUUGACAUAGCUGCAUAUAUGUAGUAUAAUUUGUAGUAAUGAGUUGUAUUUAGUACUUAGAAGUCAGUUCGGUUACAAAGUAGUUUGAUUAGCUUCAAUGAUUUACUAUAGCACUUUGCUGCUAAGCACUUGAACUGUGGAGUUAAAGCUAUACAAAUUACUAUGAUAAUCUUCAAUGAAAGGUAUUCUAUUCGGAAGACUUUCGAAACGAUGGAGAUAAUAAUCGGGCCGGUAGCGAAAAGUUCCGUCAAGAAACGAAGCACAGAAUAAAGAUCGCUGAGAAGAAACACAUGGAAGUGUUAACGAAGGCUUGCUGGAAUGCGAAUACUGCUUUAAAUGUAUUACGAGGAAGAAGAAGGUGUAGUAUAUGGCUUUGUGUUGUGUUAGCUGUAAAUAUGAUUUUUUUUCAUUUUAUGUAUUUUUUAUCAGUACGCAAAACUUCAUACGCGUUUUAGAAAUGGUUGCCACGGUAUCUUAAAAAUCAAUUAACAAAUUUACUUGAAACUUUGUAGAUAUAUUCAGUAGACGCGUCACUACGUUUCGUUCGUACUAGAAUCAAGUCGAUAUUUGCAAAAUUCGCAUUUUACGACUUAAAAAACUAGCAAAAACUUUUUCUUUGAGGCGUUGCAUGCUAUUUUGUUAUUUUCUAAUAUUUAUUCUAGUACGAGUUAUAAGCACACUCAUCCAGAUUAAGAAUUUCAAUUUUUUAUUUCAGACAACCAGGACAGCUGAUUAGGAAAAAAAUUUGUUAGGCGUUUCCGUAGAACUGUUGCAACUUUUGAUAGAAUCAAUAUUUUUACUUACAAAAAACUGGAUUUUUUCAAAUAUGGAUAAAUCUACAAAAUUUCAAAUUAAUAUACCGAAUAGUUAAAAAAAAAAAUUCCUGAAAAUUGCCUUAUUUUUAGGCCGUCACAUUAAGAAAACCCCUUAAGUCGUUAAAUUGUAAAAAAACAUUGACUGUUAAAUUUUCAAGAGAAAUUUAGGUUACUACGACCGCAUCUGUUUAGUCAAUUCUCUUGCGAAUUUAGAUUCGGUUUCGGAUUUGAUGUUUCAACUGUUCGCGUAUCUUGAGAAAUUCGAAUUUGAAGUCCUAUUUAUUUACUACCCACAUAUUCGACUCGAAAAAAAUAUUGAAGCCCUAGAUUCUACGCCGGAUGAAUUCCAUUAUCUAAUGACGCGUGUGCUAUUGUUGUCGUAUCGCCGUUUUUCUAUUUUUUUUUGCGCGCUCUAUCUCACAGUCAUUGCGCGGUGAAAGGGUCGAAAUGGCGAAUCGAGUCAUCUCGAGUAACUAUGAGCGACCCGCGUAUUUAGACUAAACGCCUGUAACACACGUCAUACUGCCAGCCAACUGAAAAAGCGAGCGAAGAAAACGAAAAAAAGAAAAAAAAGAAAAUACGAAGCACUGUGUUCCCAUAUCCCAGGAUAAGUUAAUAGAGACACGGAUACGUAUAAUUAAAAUUGUAUAUAUCCCGACGAAAAAAGUCGCGGUCGAAUGUGUGUGUGUGUGUGUGUAUGUAUGUGUUAACUGCCCGACGCGACUAAAACUUCUAUGAGAAAGAAAACACGAAAAUAGGCGAUUAUUAUUAUUAUUAUCAUUAUUAUUAUUAUUAUUAUUAUUACUACUACUACUACUACUUACAUCGACCGAAUUCGUGGAGCGAUCGCCUGAACGCUCUUUCAUUGCAAAAGAAAACACGAAAAUGGAAAAAUAAAGAAAACAGCGGUCGAUCAGGGGGCGUAAGAGCGCUUUAGGUCUCGCGUACGAGUCAUGACGGAACUUUUUUGUAAGCGAAGAGUCCGUGACACAUUUGUACAUACGCCGAAGUCAACUUUCUCGUUCUCACGUGUCACACAUGUUACGUGCGCUGGUGAUAAGCCGUUUUUUCUACCGUAUAAAUUCGCGACCGAUCUCAAAGGUAUUCGACGAUUCGUGACUCGCACGAUGAGAGUCAUGCUGCGUGGAAGUACGCACGUUCGCGUGAUACCGCACGCGUGAGGCUGAAGAUGAGAGUAAAACGAAACUUGAAACGUUUCCCGAGAUCGUGAGAAUGUUGGCAUAUUCCGAAUUAUUAUCAUAUGGCAACGCGAUUGCGCUCCUGCCAUCGUGAAAUCGUUCGUUCAUUACGGCCAUUUAACGCGUAUUAGGGAUUUUAGGAUUCGAAUUUAAUUUAAGAUAGAUGUGUGUUAUACACACACACACACAUAUAUAUAUAUAUACACACACGCAUACACACAGUACGAGAGAAUAUAUGCAAGAGACUUAAACUCGAAAAAGAGAAAAGAGAGAGAUAGAGAGAACAUUUAAAAAGUAAAAUACGAUUUCGAAAAGGAGAUCUUGAAUGUGGUUCAUGAACACUACUUGUCUUGCUGUUAAUAAUCGCUUGCGUUCGAAGAAUACGUUGUACCUUUUGUAAAAAAAAAAAAAAAAAAAAAA